Molecule: ribosomal RNA, 497 nt
Filed under: uncultured bacterium
Lineage: Bacteria
Description: partial 16S ribosomal RNA
Rfam family: Bacterial small subunit ribosomal RNA
Source: RNAcentral
GACGAACGCUGGCGGCGUGCCUAAUACAUGCAAGUUGAGCGCUGAAGGUUGGUACUUGUCCCGACUGGAUGAGCAGCGAACGGGUGAGUAACGCGUGGGGAAUCUGCCUUUGAGCGGGGGACAACAUUUGGAAACGAAUGCUAAUACCGCAUAAAAACUUUAAACACAAGUUUUAAGUUUGAAAGAUGCAAUUGCAUCACUCAAAGAUGAUCCCGCGUUGUAUUAGCUAGUUGGUGAGGUAAAGGCUCACCAAGGCGAUGAUACAUAGCCGACCUGAGAGGGGGAUCGGCCACAUUGGGACUGAGACACGGCCCAAACCCCUACGGGAGGCAGCAGUAGGGAAUCUUCGGCAAUGGACGAAAGUCUGACCGAGCAACGCCGCGUGAGUGAAGAAGGUUUUCGGAUCGUAAAACUCUGUUGGUAGAGAAGAACGUUGGUGAGAGUGGAAAGCUCAUCAAGUGACGGUAACUACCCAGAAAGGGACGGCUAACUACGUG